Molecule: ribosomal RNA, 1496 nt
Filed under: Salmonella enterica subsp. enterica serovar Typhimurium
Lineage: Bacteria; Pseudomonadati; Pseudomonadota; Gammaproteobacteria; Enterobacterales; Enterobacteriaceae
Description: bacterial SSU rRNA
Rfam family: Bacterial small subunit ribosomal RNA
Source: RNAcentral
UUUUUUUUUUUUUUGUUAUUUCUCUCUCAGAUUAACGCUGCGGCAGGCCUAACACAUGCAAGUCGAACGGUAACAGGAAGCAGCUUGCUGCUUUGCUGACGAGUGGCGGACGGGUGAGUAAUGUCUGGGAAACUGCCUGAUGGAGGGGGAUAACUACUGGAAACGGUGGCUAAUACCGCAUAACGUCGCAAGACCAAAGAGGGGGACCUUCGGGCCUCUUGCCAUCAGAUGUGCCCAGAUGGGAUUAGCUUGUUGGUGAGGUAACGGCUCACCAAGGCGACGAUCCCUAGCUGGUCUGAGAGGAUGACCAGCCACACUGGAACUGAGACACGGUCCAGACUCCUACGGGAGGCAGCAGUGGGGAAUAUUGCACAAUGGGCGCAAGCCUGAUGCAGCCAUGCCGCGUGUAUGAAGAAGGCCUUCGGGUUGUAAAGUACUUUCAGCGGGGAGGAAGGUGUUGUGGUUAAUAACCGCAGCAAUUGACGUUACCCGCAGAAGAAGCACCGGCUAACUCCGUGCCAGCAGCCGCGGUAAUACGGAGGGUGCAAGCGUUAAUCGGAAUUACUGGGCGUAAAGCGCACGCAGGCGGUCUGUCAAGUCGGAUGUGAAAUCCCCGGGCUCAACCUGGGAACUGCAUUCGAAACUGGCAGGCUUGAGUCUUGUAGAGGGGGGUAGAAUUCCAGGUGUAGCGGUGAAAUGCGUAGAGAUCUGGAGGAAUACCGGUGGCGAAGGCGGCCCCCUGGACAAAGACUGACGCUCAGGUGCGAAAGCGUGGGGAGCAAACAGGAUUAGAUACCCUGGUAGUCCACGCCGUAAACGAUGUCUACUUGGAGGUUGUGCCCUUGAGGCGUGGCUUCCGGAGCUAACGCGUUAAGUAGACCGCCUGGGGAGUACGGCCGCAAGGUUAAAACUCAAAUGAAUUGACGGGGGCCCGCACAAGCGGUGGAGCAUGUGGUUUAAUUCGAUGCAACGCGAAGAACCUUACCUGGUCUUGACAUCCACAGAACUUUCCAGAGAUGGAUUGGUGCCUUCGGGAACUGUGAGACAGGUGCUGCAUGGCUGUCGUCAGCUCGUGUUGUGAAAUGUUGGGUUAAGUCCCGCAACGAGCGCAACCCUUAUCCUUUGUUGCCAGCGGUCCGGCCGGGAACUCAAAGGAGACUGCCAGUGAUAAACUGGAGGAAGGUGGGGAUGACGUCAAGUCAUCAUGGCCCUUACGACCAGGGCUACACACGUGCUACAAUGGCGCAUACAAAGAGAAGCGACCUCGCGAGAGCAAGCGGACCUCAUAAAGUGCGUCGUAGUCCGGAUUGGAGUCUGCAACUCGACUCCAUGAAGUCGGAAUCGCUAGUAAUCGUGGAUCAGAAUGCCACGGUGAAUACGUUCCCGGGCCUUGUACACACCGCCCGUCACACCAUGGGAGUGGGUUGCAAAAGAAGUAGGUAGCUUAACCUUCGGGAGGGCGCUUACCACUUUGUGAUUCAUGACUGGGGUGAGUC